RNAcentral lists this ribosomal RNA (458 nucleotides) under uncultured bacterium. RNAcentral describes it as "partial 16S ribosomal RNA". It matches the Rfam family "Bacterial small subunit ribosomal RNA", at positions 28 to 507 of the family's 1533-position model. The record is from RNAcentral.
GAUCAACGCUGGCGGCGUGCAUGAGACAUGCAAGUCGAACGAAGGAUCGGGCUUGCUCGAUCCUUAGUGGCGGACGGCUGAGUAACGCGUAGGUGACCUACCCCGAAGUGGGGAAUAACUGCCCGAAAGGGUGGCUAAUACCGCAUGUGGGCGCACGUUCAUUCGUGCGAGUAAAGCCGCAAGGCGCUUCGGGAGGGGCCUGCGUCCGAUUAGCUCGUUGGUGGGGUAAAGGCUUACCAAGGCGACGAUCGGUAGGUGGCCUGAGAGGACGAUCACCCAGACUGGGACUGAGACACGGCCCAGACUCCUACGGGAGGCAGCAGUCGGGAAUUUUGCUCAAUGGGGGAAACCCUGAAGCAGCAACGCCGCGUGAGGGAUGAAGGCCUUCGGGUUGUAAACCUCUUUUGUCAGGGACGAUGAUGACGGUACCUGGCGAAUAAGCCACGGCUAACUACGUG